GGGGGGGGCGAGAGAAGAGGGGGUAGGGAGGGAGAAAGAAUGAAAGAAAGAAAAGAGAGUUAGAUAAAGAAAUUUAAGAGGAAAAGAGAAAGAGGCGGAGAGGGAAGAGAGAGAAAAGGGGAGAAAGAGACGGGGGCUGGGCCUCAGUAGGCUACAUUUUGAGAGGCGGUUUAAUUUGCUACAUCCAAGGGCAUGUUACACAAAAAAUGUUUUCAAUCAUUUCAAAUUUCUGUUGCUAAUUUACACAAAUUAUUGAUUAAUCAAGUGAAGCUAUAGCAAAUUUCUGUUGCUAAUUUACAAUUGAUAUGUCAAGUGUAGCUACAGCAAACUUCUGUUGCUAAUUUAUAAUUGAUAUUAUAUUAAGUGUUAUAGCAAAUAGAUUUUUACUACCUAUUGCAAGUAGCAUGGAGACAAGCGAUCAAGUACAAAAUAAUUUACAAUUGAAUGUCAUAUUUAUGAUUGAAUUUGGGAUUUAAAAAUCCAGUCGCAAUUGAUUGGGAUUUUAUGUUCAUAAAUUGGACCAUGACAAAGGACGAUUGGUAAAGUGCAAUGGUGUUCGUCCAUCAAUUGUCCUAAAGUUUUUAUAUCACAAAGUGUGAGUUGGAUAUUUAUUUGAAACAAUUACCAACAAGUAGCAAAUAUGUGUGCCGAAAAUGAGUAUAUUGAUCGAAAAUUUGAAUGUUUCACUCAAGCUAAUCAUGCUAACAAAAAAGAAAAAUGUGUUAAAAAUAUUGUGUGGCGGGGGCGUCCUUGCGUAAAGUCACGCGUAAGAUAAUAUCAGCUUUAACGUCCCCCGCCGUGUGCCCAUCGUGAAAAAAAUAAACGUAGUAUAACAUACAGUAUGUCUAAAAACAAGGAACCUCUUUACACAAAAUUUGACAACAUUAGUCUAUGAAUAUUAAUCGAUCAUCUGUGUGUUUGGUUAAAGCUAACCUAGCGUAUAACAAAAAAAAUACGAAUAAAAUUGUGUUCAAAAUUUUUUUUUGCUUGCCAUAAUUAGAGGUGCGUAAAGUCAUGCGUAACUUAAAAACAUAGCAGCAUCGAAAAUGAAACACCCCACGAUGUAUCAACGGGCCCAUGAAACAAAUAUGUUGAAAUGGAACUGUUUAAUUACAAAGGAUGUUACGCUGCAGCGAUAUGGGACGUGCCUAUUCAAGCUUUGAUGGCCUCCCGCAGAUUAAGAACACAAUGAAAGCGAAAGGAAAAUAACUAAAUUGAUGGAUCACCACUUUUAACUCUAUUUAUCUAGUUUAAUAUUAAAACGAUUAAGAAUGAUGUAACCAAAUGUCAAGACGUUUAUUAAGGUUUCUAAUAGUUGGGCAGCCAUUGAAGAGGAGUUGGAAGGUAUAUAAGAACAGAGAUUUGGUUGCAGGAGCCAAACCUGAGAAGGAUCUGAAAUCAUCUAUCAGACUCACCAGACUUAUCAUUACCAGGACAGCGAAUUUAACAAUAACACAAUGGUUUCCAAGGUACUGAUCGCUUUCAUGGCCAUGAUGGUGGUUGCCAUGGCAUUCGAGUUCGAAGAGACCGACGGCGAUGAGGGUUUCGACGUCGAGUUCAUGAAGAGGGAUCCUGUAAUGCGAGAUUACUGGCUAGCCUACAAGAGGGGAGAUUCAAUGAGCAAAUACAAGCCAUGUGAAAAAGCUCCCGGAUGCUGGUGUACCAAGAGAAGAAACAAGGUCGCUUACUGUGCUGGUAAGAAAACGAGUUUAUGUUCUUUGCUCCACAAUCAGUUUGGGCUACUCUUCAAAUAGUCAUAUACCACGUGGGCUAAACAUAUUUGAUCAAUAAACUAUCACUUUGUUUUAAUUGCUGUUUAUACUUGUCGUAAUGUGAUACCAUCUUCUUCUAAUUCUUCAUUUAGCCUUAUUCACGGUUGUUCUAAUUUCCACUACCUCUCUACUUAUCAUUUUUAAUGAGAAUAGGGCAUUUUAGCAAUGACUUUGCAGACGUUUUAAAUAACGCUGAUAAUCUUUUUCAAAAGCCCUUCAUACAAAAGCAUAAUUUCUUUGUCAAAAGUCGGUGAAUCAAAACAAGAGUGUCGUCCUGGACUCUGGACAAAAAACUUUUUUUUUCGUCCGGUCUGAAGCUUAAGGACGUUCCACAGUUAAAGUGAAAUCCAUGUCAUUUUCACCAAACUUUGCACAUAGAUACUUUAGAACCUUAAUAUUCGAAAUAUGCAAAAAUUAACAUAGGUCCAUGUGCUUGAUUUUUUGCUAUAGAGCUUCAAAUUUCACCCAAAUUGAUGUUCUUAAGAAUUGCGCAUUCAAAAGAAUUUGGCAUUUUUAGACCGCCCAAGAUUACUACAAUGAGUUUAAACCUCCAUUACUCAUUCAAAAUACAUGAAAAAGUCAUCAAAUUUCGCAAGAGAGUUAAUAAUUGUAUCGUUAGAAUUGAGAAUCUAUUAAUAGUGCUAUUUGUUUGCAAUUUUAAGUUUAACAGCACUGUCAGUUCUUAAAAAUGGCGUAAAAGAUAACAAAAUCCCAAUCUGAAAAAUGUAAAAUUUCAGUAACAAAAUACAAACGUACAAUAAAUGCUGCACUUUAUUCAAAAUCCAUGUCAUUUUCACCAAAAUUUGCAGAGUUGUAGAGGAAGGUAUACCUAAGAGGUAGAAACAUUAAAAAAUAGGGGUUCAUGUGCUUGUUUUUAAACUAUCAGCAUUUUUAUUAGAGCAAAUGUGCUUUUUAAAACACAAAAAAUGGGCAGAAUGCUUAGUAUCUAUGUGAAGAAAAAAUCAAAACCACUCUACCAUUUAUUCAAACUCGGGCUAAUAUUCGUGAUUCUUGGCAGCACUGCAGAGUAAAGUAUUUUGAAAUUGUAGAGAACAUUUUUUUGAAUGGUCCAUGGAAUAAUUCAAUUUUUUAGCUUCAUGAAAUAACGCAUCGGAUCUGCAGUUAAAGUGCAGAAGACGAGAAAAAUCAGCUCAUACCCGCAGCUAAUUAAUACCUGUUCAUCCAUUGUGGCGUCAGCGCGCAGAGUGUAAACUAUGCGCAGAUCAUAAUGCGCACAAAUAUAACUGUGGAACGUCCUUAAGACGAUGUGCUGUCCAGGGCCCCGUUGCAUAAAACUUUUGCCAGACUUAUUUUUGCCAUAGUUUUUCUAUGGCAAAAACCUUAGUUUUUUGCCAGAGUUUCAAAUUCGGUCAAAAUUUCAUGGCAAAAAAACUCUGGCAAACUUUUGCCAGAGUUUUUUAUGUUGCCAGAGUUUUUUAAGACUGAAUAAACUUGAACGAGGAUGAACGCCGAUAUCAGCCGAUAUCGCGAUCGGUAUCUGCUGCUGCUGAAAAAAUCACGGAGACUCCACAGAACG
Lytechinus pictus (painted urchin) is the source of this 3309-nucleotide long non-coding RNA. RefSeq lists it as uncharacterized. NCBI's taxonomy places the organism in Eukaryota, Metazoa, Echinodermata, Echinoidea, Temnopleuroida, Toxopneustidae. The transcript is spliced from 3 exons. The record is from RefSeq and is a predicted model, not a curated record.